CCUACGGGAGGCAGCAGUGGGGAAUAUUGCACAAUGGGGGAAACCCUGAUGCAGCAACGCCGCGUGAGUGAAGAAGUAUUUCGGUAUGUAAAGCUCUAUCAGCAGGGAAGAAAAUGACAGUAACUGACUAAGUAGCCCCGGCCAACUACGUGCCAGCAGCCGCGGUAAUACGUAGGGGGCAAGCGUUAUCCGGAUUUACUGGGUGUAAAGGGGGCGCAGACGGCGAUGCAAGCCAGGAGUGAAAGCCCGGGGCCCAACCCCGGGACUGCGCUUGAAACUGCGUGGCUAGAGUGCAGGAGGGGCAGGCGGAAUUCCUGGUGUAGCGGUGAAAUGCGUAGAUAUCAGGAAGAACACCGAUGGCGAAGGCAGCCUGCUGGACUGCAACUGACGUUGAGGCCCGAAAGCGUGGGUAGCAAACAGGAUUAGAUACCCCAGUAGUC
This 440-nucleotide ribosomal RNA is filed under the name uncultured bacterium. Its description in RNAcentral is "partial 16S ribosomal RNA". It matches the Rfam family "Bacterial small subunit ribosomal RNA", at positions 338 to 795 of the family's 1533-position model. The record is from RNAcentral.